AUUGAACGCUGGCGGCAGGCCUAACACAUGCAAGUCGAACGAGUGGCGGACGGGUGAGUAAUGUCUGGGAAACUGCCUGAUGGAGGGGGAUAACUACUGGAAACGGUAGCUAAUACCGCAUACCAUCAGAUGUGCCCAGAUGGUAUUAGCUUGUUGGUGGGGUAACGGCUCACCAAGGCGACGAUCCCUAGCUGGUCUGAGAGGAUGACCAGCCACACUGGAAUGGAGACACGGUCCAGACGCCUACGGUGGGCAGCAGUGGGGAAUAGUGCGCAAUGGGCGCAAGCCUGAGGCAGCCAUGCCGCGUGUAGGAAGAAGGCCUUCGGGUUGUAAAGUACUUUCAGUGGGGAGGCGUUACCCGAAGAAGAAGCACCGGCUAACUCCGUGCCAGCCGCCGCGGUAAUUC
This 406-nucleotide ribosomal RNA is filed under the name uncultured bacterium. RNAcentral's name for it is "partial 16S ribosomal RNA". It matches the Rfam family "Bacterial small subunit ribosomal RNA", at positions 30 to 526 of the family's 1533-position model. The record is from RNAcentral.